RNAcentral lists this ribosomal RNA (817 nucleotides) under uncultured bacterium. RNAcentral's name for it is "bacterial SSU rRNA". It matches the Rfam family "Bacterial small subunit ribosomal RNA", at positions 71 to 884 of the family's 1533-position model. The record is from RNAcentral.
AGCACGGGAGCAAUCCUGGUGGCGAGUGGCGAACGGGUGAGUAAUAUAUCGGAACGUGCCCAGUCGUGGGGGAUAACGUAGCGAAAGCUACGCUAAUACCGCAUACGAUCUAUGGAUGAAAGCGGGGGAUCGCAAGACCUCGCGCGAUUGGAGCGGCCGAUAUCAGAUUAGCUAGUUGGUGGGGUAAAAGCCCACCAAGGCGACGAUCUGUAGCUGGUCUGAGAGGACGACCAGCCACACUGGAACUGAGACACGGUCCAGACUCCUACGGGAGGCAGCAGUGGGGAAUUUUGGACAAUGGGCGCAAGCCUGAUCCAGCAAUGCCGCGUGCAGGACGAAGGCCUUCGGGUUGUAAACUGCUUUUGUACGGAACGAAAAAGUCUGCCCUAAUACGGUGGGCUCAUGACGGUACCGUAAGAAUAAGCACCGGCUAACUACGUGCCAGCAGCCGCGGCAAUACGUAGGGUGCAAGCGUUAAUCGGAAUUACUGGGCGUAAAGCGUGCGCAGGCGGUUUUGUAAGACAGAUGUGAAAUCCCCGGGCUCAACCUGGGACCUGCAUUUGUGACUGCAAAGCUAGAGUACGGCAGAGGGGGAUGGAAUUCCGCGUGUAGCAGUGAAGUGCGUAGAUAUGCGGAGGAACACCGAUGGCGAAGGCAAUCCCCUGGGCCUGCACUGACGCUCAUGCACGAAAGCGUGGGGAGCAAACAGGAUUAGAUACCCUGGUAGUCCACGCCCUAAACGAUGUCAACUGGUUGUUGGGAAUUUACUUUCUCAGUAACGAAGCUAACGCGUGAAGUUGACCGCCUGGGGAGUACG